This 339-nucleotide unclassified non-coding RNA is filed under the name uncultured Microascaceae. Its description in RNAcentral is "sequence contains ITS1". The stretch from base 1 to 105 matches the Rfam family "5.8S ribosomal RNA", at positions 50 to 154 of the family's 154-position model. The record is from RNAcentral. Lineage: Eukaryota; Fungi; Ascomycota; Sordariomycetes; Microascales.
GAAAUGCGAUAAGUAAUGUGAAUUGCAGAAUUCAGUGAACCAUCGAAUCUUUGAACGCACAUUGCGCCCGGCAGUAAUCUGCCGGGCAUGCCUGUCCGAGCGUCAUUUCUCCCCUCGAGCGCAGCUUUCCCCCCCGGGGGAGGGCCGCGCCCGGUGUUGGGGCGCUACGGAGGAGCCCCGCGCUCCGCCGUAGGCCCCGAAAUGUAGUGGCGGUCCCGCCGCGGCGCCCCCUGCGUAGUACUUAACAGCUCGCAUCGGGUCCCGGCGGAGGCCAGCCGUCAAACCCCCCAACUUCAAUAGUUUGACCUCGGAUCAGGUAGGGUUACCCGCUGAACUUAA